CCCGCUGAACUUAAGCAUAUCAAUAAGCGGAGGAAAAGAAACUAACAAGGAUUCCCCUAGUAACGGCGAGUGAAGCGGGAAGAGCUCAAAUUUGUAAUCUGGCACCUUCGGUGUCCGAGUUGUAAUCUCGAGAAGUGUUUUCCGCGCCGGACCGCAUACAAGUCUGUUGGAAUACAGCGUCAUAGUGGUGAGAACCCCGUACCUAAUGCGGAUGCCCGGUGCUUUGUGAUACACUUUCGAAGAGUCGAGUUGUUUGGGAAUGCAGCUCAAAUUGGGUGGUAAAUUCCAUCUAAAGCUAAAUAUUGGCGAGAGACCGAUAGCGAACAAGUACCGUGAGGGAAAGAUGAAAAGCACUUUGGAAAGAGAGUUAACAGUACGUGAAAUUGUUGGAAGGGAAACGAUUGAAGUCAGUCGCGUCUACUUGGACUCAGUCUUGCUUCGGCUUGAUGCAUUUCCUUGUGGACGGGCCAGUGUUCAUGUCGAUCGCUGGAGAAGGUACAGGGGAAUGUGGCUCCUUAGGGAGUGUUAUAGCCCAUGUUCAUAUACAGUGAUUGGUAUGGAGUGGUACAGCAUGCUUCGGCGGUGUUUGUACUGGCAUAAUGGCUUUAAACGACCCGUCUUGAAACACGG
This 630-nucleotide ribosomal RNA is filed under the name uncultured fungus. Its description in RNAcentral is "eukaryotic LSU rRNA". It matches the Rfam family "Eukaryotic large subunit ribosomal RNA", at positions 24 to 664 of the family's 3401-position model. Lineage: Eukaryota; Fungi. The record is from RNAcentral.